CAGCAGUCAAGAAUAUUAGUCAAUGUCCGAAAGAGUGAACUAGCUAAACUGAAAUCACUUUAGAAGUGAUAAUGUAAGGGAAAAUAAUGAUAUUACCUUACUAUAAGUGUUGUCCAAAACUGGUGCCAGAAGACUCGGUAAGGCCAGAAACGCGAACGUUAGUCAUCUUAAACAGGCGUAAAGGGUUUGUAGGCAGCUUUGAAAUCCUGAUUUUUAAAAAAAUAGUGUCCUUUCCCCUCUGCAUGGCAAGCCCGUGCGAGGGGGGAUAGAAGCAUUCGUUCGCAGUGUACGUAGUACUAGGAUAAAAAAAAAGAGGGAAAUUAGAAGAUAGAAUCAAAUAUAGGAAAAUUCGAAUAAAUUCUAGAAGAGGGUUAAUAUCCGAAGAUACUAGAAUGAAUGCUUAAGGCGAAGGCCUUUUUCCAUAAAUGAUUGACGCUCAGAAACGAAGGAUAGGAUAGGAAACAGGGAUUAGAUACCCUGGUACCCCUUUCAGUCAACGAUGAAUGGUAGUCACUAAUUAAAGUAUUGGUGUCAAUGUUAACACGUUAACCAUUCCGCCUUGUGAGUACGAUUGCAAAAUUGAAAACAAAAAAUUAGUCGGUCCCGAAGCAAACGAAACGAAGUGAAGCAUGUUAUUUAAUUCAAUAAUCCG
This 652-nucleotide ribosomal RNA is filed under the name Ceriporia reticulata. RNAcentral describes it as "partial small subunit ribosomal RNA". It matches the Rfam family "Bacterial small subunit ribosomal RNA", at positions 349 to 961 of the family's 1533-position model. Lineage: Eukaryota; Fungi; Basidiomycota; Agaricomycetes; Polyporales; Irpicaceae. The record is from RNAcentral.